Molecule: long non-coding RNA, 2808 nt
Filed under: Felis catus (domestic cat)
Lineage: Eukaryota; Metazoa; Chordata; Mammalia; Carnivora; Felidae
Description: lncRNA (ENSFCAG00000050317.1)
Source: RNAcentral
UGGCACUGCUUCACUUAGAGUGGAAUAUAAUUAUAUCCUUAAACAAAAAACAGCAUUUGAACCAAAUUGAAUCAAAACUAAUUUUUAAGUUUAAAUUAAUUGAUGGGAAAAGAAAUCUCUUCUAAAAUGAAAAACAGAAAACAGAUAUGAAAGAAAGUCUUUCCUGGGAGAACCUACCAGAGACCUGUAGAUUGACUUAUUCUUUUCUUCCAGGCUAGGGCUUGGAAAUUUGGACAUUCUCUCAGGUUAUCUGCCUACAUUUUCAUUGUGGAGAUCGAGUGAAAUGACGUAUGAGACUGUGCCUUGUACGCUGUACUGUUCUAUGCCAAAAUAAGAAACUCAUCAUGACCUACAAAGUCAUUUCCUCCAAAAGAGGUGUUGAUCCCAAGAGCAUUCAUCAAGCUCCUUCUCAGGAUCUGCAUCCAGGGAUCCCAACCCGUGACAGUAGGUACAAAGACUGGUCCACAAGCACAGCACUGAGAUGGGAUUUUGGAGCUGACCACCAUCUCCUGGCUGCCAGUGAGGAUGCUGUCCCUGGUAGGUGGACAUAAGAGGGAAACAGUAAUCAUAAGGACAGUGAAUUACCUGGCUGUUAAGCUUUACAGACGCCCUGGCGAAGGGUAGCAAAAAGCUGAGAUAAAUCAGCAGUUAAAUGCUGAGUGAGAAGGCCAGAGGGCCUCCCUAGAAACACACCAUGAGGCUCUCAUCUCUUAAAAUGGGAAGGGCUCAAAAAGAGGACCAAGGACAGGAUUUAAUUGUAAGAGUAGUUGAGGCAGGUCUGCUAUGCUAAGAUUGGGCAGUUGGGCCCCUGACACAAGGGAUAGGUACAUCUGUGUCGACGUCCCUCUAAGGAUUUUAUAUCUCCAGAUUACCCUGAGUCCUCUGCACAAAUGGUCCACUCCUCUGCUCUGUUAAGGGCUAGACACACACACACACACACACACUGUGCGCAUGCACACACACACACACACACAACACACACACACACUGAAUUUAGUACAGAGACCUCUUCUCUGCAAGAUGCUAUGCACUUUAUUCAGGACAUCUCUUGUAUACCCUCCUGACCACCAAAUCAGUUACGGGGGUUAAGUCACAGAAUAGCUCUGCCAAGGACCUGCUGGGACUACUGAGGGAGGAGAUGAACUAUCUUCCUUGAGUCCAAUUUCAACACGAGCCACUGGGACAGUAUGCCUGGGACUGGAUUCUGAGGGUGCCUGACAAAGGUGAGUGGAAGAUAAAUUUGGAUACAACAGAAUUUACCAACAUGAGAGCAUUCUCCCAUGAUACAGGUUGUAAUAAUACCUUCCAAGGAUCUGAGAGAGGGUGUGAGCAUGUUGCAGGAUGGCUCCUACAAGCAGGGAAGAAGCAAUGACCCAUAUUAAGUGAGGUAGGAAUGAUGGAAUUGCCAUGACAGUAUUACACAAUGAAGAAAGGAAAGAAGGCAUUUGGCACCCCUUCUUCCUUGCGAUUUGAUAGUAAAUGACAUGUGCAGCAAUCUCAGUCUAUUUUUAUUAUUGCUACAUCGCUCUGGAGGUCUCCAAAUCAAUCAAGACAAUGCAAAUUAGUGCCAGGAAUAAUACUCCAACAAUGUCCAACAGGGACCCAGCAGUGCAGACACACCAAGAGACUUUCGGGCCAUUGAUGGUUCUGCUGGACCCAAGUAGUUAGAGCUCCUGGAGUGCCCUCCCCUCCCACCACCUCAUCCCCAACCAGAACAAUAUCCCUGUACUUGACCUCAUGGUCCAGAUUUGUGGCUCUGACUUAUGAGAGCCCAUUAUGCAGGGCAGUCCCUGGAUAUUUGCAUCUGUGAGAUGGGACCUUUAUAAUUUCCAAGGACAAAGUGGAGCAAGAGGAACAAAAGGAGACAGCUCUCUGUACCUUGUGUGAUAAUCAAUUUCAGGAGAACUAUUCUCUGAUAACAAGAAGUAAUUUUUGCUUAGGAAGCAAUCUCUGAGCUUUCAUUUUUCUGGCCUCAAUCUAUAUUACCUAUUGAUUUGCAGGCUCCAGCAUAUCAGCUAUUUUACGUGAAUUCUGUUCUAUUUUAAAAAUCAGCAAUAUAGUUUGGAUACUGGUUGGGCAUCACUUGUGUAUAUGAGCAUUGUAUCUGGGAAUGCAGAGCUGAGAAUGCUUGCUUUUAGAUUAGCCAAGUGACCUCAACCCACAUGGAAAUUAUUCCCUGGUCAUUUAUUCUUAAACUCUAUGGCCUUCUAUCAUUCUGAUUUCCCAUAGGUAUGAUAGACAUUGAUUUUGGUUACAAUUUAAGGAGAAUUAGGAAAGCUCCCUCAUUUCUUCUUAUACUUGCUGACUUCCUAGAAAUAUUCUUCCAAACAAUGCUAUAAAUACCACUCCAAUCAAUCUAUCAAUCAAUCACUGCCAUAGUUUUUGAAUGGAGCCCAAAAUAGUCCCUCUAUAUUAAUGCAGUGCCACCUUAGUGCAAGGUCCAAGAUGUAAGGCUAGGGAGCCUGCUGUGAGGACUGAAACCAAUCUCCAAUACCAUCGUACAGGAAUCUGAACUAUCACAGGAGUGUGUUACCAGGUUUUGUUGGCCAUUUAACAAUCUGGUCCUUCGGGUCACACACCGAACUCUUCUCUAUGUUUCUCAUUUAUUACAUAGGAACCUAUCAGAUUCUCUCUUUACUCCUUGUCAAGAGUGGAUACCAUUGCUAUAACAGGGAGCAGGAAGACCAUGAAAAAGAAAACAAGUGGAGAGGAAAGGGAAUGGCCUCCACAAAUAGGGAUUCACACCAGUUGUGGGCUGAAACAGUUUGCUAAAAUAAAAGACCAAUAGGGUGAUAGAAAGAGCCUUGA